GCAAACCAGGAUCUAUGUGGGAAAUAAAAGUUUCCACAGGGGGACCCGACUGGGGACAAAUAAAGUUCUGCAGGGGGAAAGAAAAGACUCUGGAAUAACCAACAUUUCAAAAGAAACCAAACUAUAGUUUGAGAGAUGACCGUGACAAAGACCUAACGGGAAAGACUUAACAAGGCAAGGCUCCACCGGGGAAAAUAAUCGUCAAAAGGGA
RNAcentral lists this long non-coding RNA (211 nucleotides) under Lathyrus oleraceus (garden pea). Its description in RNAcentral is "Pisum sativum (pea) long non-coding RNA (PSAT_LNC018291)". The record is from RNAcentral. Lineage: Eukaryota; Viridiplantae; Streptophyta; Magnoliopsida; Fabales; Fabaceae.